This is a long non-coding RNA of Vespa crabro (European hornet), 2713 nucleotides long. RefSeq lists it as uncharacterized. The transcript has 7 exons. Lineage: Eukaryota; Metazoa; Arthropoda; Insecta; Hymenoptera; Vespidae. The record is from RefSeq and is a predicted model, not a curated record.
UGGCCUCCCUGUGACGAAAAGUUUGGUUAUGUCUUAAUUGAUGGAUUAAUAACUAGAGAAACAAGACAAAAUAGACAAAAGAGAAGAAAAGAGUGACUGUUAUUAAAAAGUUUAAAUAAAGUAUUUAUUGGAUUGAAAUUAUUUAUUAAUAUGUCCAGCUAGAAUUAAUUCAUAUGUAAAUCUAAACAUCGAUCAUGUUCAACUACGAAAGAUAAGUUAUUGCAUUCGUUAACCUAACAUAAAGAUAUAAGUAAUCAUUAUUUUUGAUGAUAGAAUGGAAGAGAUACGACGUCCGGUAUUUUCGUCAUCAAUUUUACUUAUCUACAAUAAGAAAUGGUAUUGGACUCAUGACGACACAUGAACGUUGGCGUCGUGAUUUUAUUCGUUAUCGUUAAUAGUACAAUGUGGUAUGUAGUUAGAAAUGUGCAAGAUGUUUUUGAUGACAGUCGAGUAGAAUUGAUAUCUCUAAAUUUGUCUCACCAUUCUUCUUUUUUUAUUUACAAUGUUCUUUUAUAGAAACUCCUUUUAGUUUGCAAUAAGAAUAUAUUUUUCUUUUUGUUAUGUAUUUUUUAUUGAGUGUGUUGUAUAUAUAUAUAUAUAUAUAUAUAUAUAUAUAUGUAUAUUAAUAUAUAUAUAUAUAUUAGUGAAUUUAAUGAUAGAUUCUUUCAACUUUUAUCGUCGAUGUAUGAUUAGUAAACGACAUCAUAAGGAUAGGGAGGAUUGAUGCUCGGUGUUCACAGUGCAGUUUGAAAUAACCUAGACGCAAUCCUUUUGAAAGUCACUUUCAUGAAAAUCAUCGAGAUUUCUCUCAUACUUUUCUUCUCCUCUAUGCUAGCUAGUUUCUUUGUUCUCAUUGAGCUUAUAAUAAAGUAAUGAGGACAUUCUACUUUUUUCCUUUUAAUUCUUUAUAUCUGUUUUAGAUAUCGUGAACUAAUUUCAUAUGGAGGACAAUUAAUGAAAAAAACCAUAUACGUGAGCACGUUUUUGAUUACGCUUUUUUAACAAGUCAUGUUGCAUUUCUUCAAAUAUCGUUGUGAGAUAAAAAUGGUAGACUUUAUGUCGACAGUAUGAAUGAAUACUACUUAAAUCAUGGAAUGGAUGUAUUAUUCUUAGAGUAAAUCUCGCUGGUUGUUCUAAUGUGUCUGACAGUUUCGUGGCUAAAGUCGAAGUCGUGAUUUAGUUCUAUUUCUUUCAUAGCAAUCUACUUAGAAAUAAUCUUUUUAUAAUCGUAACGUCUGUACGCUGAUGUCAUGGUUUCAUUCGUUAUUAUUUUUGCGGUAGGCGCGAAGCUAUAUUUGUUCGAUGGAUACUAGCUCGACACGCCUUCGUAUCGUCCUUAUUGAUUUCAGGGAUGGUUUACAAGAAUUGCAAUAUAUUUAAUUCUAUAAAUAUUAUUUUUAGAAUUAUAUUACUAGAUUACUUGUAAUAGCCAUUUUUUUGUUAAUGGUUUAUUCUACAUUAUAGCUAAAAAACAGACGUGUUAUACAGCUAUCACAGAAUUUUUUUAAGUGAUGAGUGAAUUUUUCAAUUUCUCCGUUUUUGUAAUCACUUGUCAACAAUGAAAAGGUUCGAAUCGAUACGGAUGAUUGGUUGGAAUUAAUUUGUAGAAGAGCAUUGAAUGACUAAUUUUUCUUUGGGAAUUUAAUCAUAAUAUGCAGAUAAGAUCAAGGUGUUAACAUGGAAUGGACAUCUUAAAAAUCGAUCCACCCGAGCAAGAUCAGAGUAUCAAAAUCGAGCAAAAUUCCAAGAGCUCACAUCUUAGAGUUAUUGUAAUUAAUUACAUUUGGAAAAAGGCGAAUGACACUGAUUUCAUCCUUUGAUGAUGAGAAGGUGAUAAAGAAAAGAAAAGAAAGCUAGAAGAUAUGAUGGAACGCACACGAGCUUGAGAAUGAUGGAACUGAUAACGAUGGUUAGACAUCUUGAAGAUCCCUUCAUUCGGUUAAAAUAAAAAUAGAAAAAUGCAAUUCAAUUUUUUUUCUACUGAAAGAAGAAAAUCCGUCCCUUCGCGAUUAUUGCCUUUUUAUUUCAGCAAUACAACGAUCGAUUCUUCCUCAGCUUCGCGCAUAAUUGCAAUGUUGUUCGAAACUAAAAAACACAAAAUUAUUAAUAUCAUUGUUAUAAUAAGAAAGGAUUGAAAAUAUUUUUAAUGUUUGAUAUAAAAAUAUACCUAUUCUAAAUCUUCGUUUUUGUUGCACAAUAAGUAUUUUGCACCAAGCGACGAAGAACUUUGAAGAAAAUUAGAAAAUAUAAAUGAAUUUCUUAUUCUGGAUUAUCUGGAAUGAAAUUUCCAUAUGCGGCGAAUAAGACUGAUUUUCCUUCGCGAUUUUAUUGAUAUUACAUAAAGGCAACGACUCCGAGUUCAAAAUUUGAUGUUUAUCUGAUGGAAUGCAAAAGAAAAGUAAUUACUAUCAGAAUCAGUAGAAAAUUAAUUUUUAUCGAUAUUAGAUGAAAGCAUUAGAUGAACAACUUCAAGUUCUAAAUUUUAUUGUAUGAAAAUAUUAGAUUCAAAUUACUUUAUAUUUAAUGCAUAUUACGAGUUACAUAAGUUUAACACUAACCGUACCGGCAUUUCACGUAUAUCUAUUCUUACCUUAACUAGGGUACCCUAUUUGAUCGGUUACGAAAUAAAUGUUUUUUCAGAAGGAAUUAUCAAUUUAUUCUAAGAAUUAAUAGAUAACAUAACUUUUAAAUAAUAAUAAAAUAAUCAAUCAUA